UUGAACAUUCAAUUAUCAAUCAAUCUCAUUAAUUAAAUUCUGAAGUUGUGUUACCUAAAGUUGUUUUUUGUUAGUUUAGGAAGAUAUCGUGCCAACAUUUUUUUUCUAAAAAAGGAACUGGUCUCUUUAUUAAUAAUAAAGCUCAAAGUACAAGAGAAGAGAAUGAUACAUAGAGCGAGAAUAUCGAGACCAGAGGAUUAGUAGGCACAGCCAAACAUCUCAACUAAGUUGACACUAUUGAAGUUGGAGCAAAAUAUGAAAUAACUCCCUUGCUUCAUUCUAUACAAUAGACUAUAGAGUUCAAUAUAUAUAGCCAUACAUGGAAACCCUAACUAAAGACUCGUAAAUUACAAUAAAAGACAAAAGACUAAUAAGCUCCUAUAGUAACAUACAUACUCUAACACUGCCCCUCAAGCUUCUUGGCUGGAAUGACAGUAUUUGAUGACUGGAAUGAAACUACAAGGUUCUUGGAAGAUUUGUUUCAAGUGAAGAUCAUCAUUAACUCCUUUUUUUACACGGAUCCAAGCUCCUUCUCUUUCAACCAGAUCAGCCCCUCAGAGAUCCAACCUUCCACAUUUUAAAUAUUCUGAUUUUUCCCUACCUACCUCAAAAGUAAAAUUUUUGAGAGGCUCCCCCUAUCCAAAACUUCGGACCCUCCUAAAAAGAAAUGUGAUUCCGAUUUUGACACUCUCCUUUUAGUGUGAGCAGUGUCGAAGAUGAUCAUUUGGGGAAGAGAAUACUAGUUUUAUCUAAAAGGUAAGUUCUCUCUCCCUUUCUCUCUUUUCUCUCACCUAUCCUCUUUCUUCCCUCCUUCUGGCAGCAACAUGGAAGUGAAGAGCUGUAAAUUUGCGGAGUCUUUCUACUGCAUUUGGUUUUAAAAGGGGCACUUCAACAUUGAAGAUGGAGCUAUAAGAGUGACAAAGUUCAGAGCUUCUUCUGGAUGGAUAGCCAGAUGUGUUGCUCAAAAUACCUCAGAGUUUCAGUCUUUUGUGCACGUUUAUUCAGAGGUUGAGAUGCCUAGAUGCACCUGCUGUUCCUCUCUAUUAUUAUCACGAUUGAAUGUACCUUGUACAAGCUUUCUAUUAUAUCAAUGAAAUUUCCAGUUUCCGUUUAAAA
This is a long non-coding RNA of Cucumis sativus (cucumber), 1116 nucleotides long. RefSeq lists it as uncharacterized. The transcript is spliced from 2 exons. NCBI's taxonomy places the organism in Eukaryota, Viridiplantae, Streptophyta, Magnoliopsida, Cucurbitales, Cucurbitaceae. The record is from RefSeq and is a predicted model, not a curated record.